GUUAAGACACUGUGAAUGUUUGUGAGAGAUUAAUGUUUGUGGAUGAUGUUAUCACUCCUAAAUAGAUCGUAAACUUUCAUGCAGAAAGGGUAUAUGUAGGAAGAAUGAGACACCUCUCCUGGCUUCUGAUGUUCCCAUCCCUGAGGAGGAACACCUAUUACUCUAAUACUCCCGCCUCUGUUUCACACCUUUACUCACUUUCCCC
RNAcentral lists this long non-coding RNA (205 nucleotides) under Homo sapiens (human). Its description in RNAcentral is "HSALNT0182691". Lineage: Eukaryota; Metazoa; Chordata; Mammalia; Primates; Hominidae. The record is from RNAcentral.